GAUGGAGGUACUGACCCUUGAACCAGUCCAUGCAAAUAGAGCCUGUGAAACCAAACUCGGGUAAUUUUGUUUAAUGAGAUACAGAACUUGUAGGAAUAUCAACUUCCCAAAUAUUACUACAAGUGUCUAGAGUUAGAAAUCUUCACAUUCGAAUCAGGAUAUGUUGAUCACAGCCUGUGUCCAGGUGUGUUCAGAUGUCACUUCGGUGGGGCCUGCCUUGACACUUCAAAUCACUUUAGGCCAGGCACAGUGGCUCACACCUGUAAUCCCAGCACUUCAGGAGGCAGAGGCAGAAGAAUCACUUGAACCCAGGAGUUUGAGACUAGCCUGAGCAACAUAGCGAAACCCUAGCCCCAUUUAAAAAAAAAAAAAAAAGACCUUUUAAGCUGUUGACCACUCUCCUUGAGUUAUGAACACUUAGCUCCCAAAAUGCCGGCCUGCAACAAGGAGUUUAUGCUGAGUGCCAGUGAAGGCGCCCUCCUUCAUGAGAGAGGCCUGCUAUGAGGAGAGCGGAACCAGGCAGCGCGUAGUGAUGCAGUUAGCUUACACCCAGCACAGGGUUCCGCACAGCUUAAACCCGGCACGGGGCUCAGCAGCGAGUAGGGCUGUGCAGUUAGCUUACAUUUGGCACAGGGUUCAGUCCAGCUUAAAUCCAGCAUGGGGUUCAGCGGCGCAGUCAUGAUGCAGUUAGCUUACAUCCAGCAUGGGGUUCUUAUUGCCAGCUGGAAUGUGCAGUCCUGGGCUGUGAUGAGCGCUGCUCCAGCUGCUCUGUGCCCCGCACUCUGGGUCGGUUGCAUAAUGGAGGUGUCUUUCAUGGACUGCCCACCUCCCCUGCUGUCAGCUCAGCACAGGCAGAGCUUUGUUUGCUUCACACGUGUCCCCGAUACCCAGGACCUUGUUGAGCAAGUGACAUCGUCCCUGUUGUGGCUCUCUGACCCCUCUGUGUGCUGGUAUGUCCCUGCGCCGGCCUAGGUGGACAACGCGUACUGGCUGUGGACUUUCCAGGGGCGCCUCCUGCAGAAGAACAACAAAGACCGCUUCUGCCAGCUGCUGUGGCGGCCCCGGCCUCCCACACUCCUGAGCCAGGAGCAGAUCAAGCAAAUUAAAAAGGAUCUGAAGAAAUACUCUAAGAUCUUUGAACAGAAGGAUCGUUUGAGUCAGUCCAAAGCCUCAAAGGAAUUGGUGGAGAGAAGGCGCACCAUGAUGGAAGAUUUCCGGAAGUACCGGAAAAUGGCCCAGGAGCUCUAUAUGGAGCAGAAAAACGAGCGCCUGGAGUUGCGAGGAGGGGUGGACACUGACGAGCUGGACAGCAACGUGGACGACUGGGAAGAGGAGACCAUUGAGUUCUUCGUCACUGAAGAAAUCAUCCCCCUCGGGAAUCAGGAGUGACCUGGAGCGCUGUGUGCAGCCACGUAUGGCGUGGAGCCGAGGCCAUCCUGCAGGAAGCCACGUGACUCCCGCCUCCUCCCCGUGCUCUCUGGCUCUGGACUGUGACUGCGCCUGGAUUCUGCCAUUGCGACACAUUUUUGUGCCUUUCAGCCCCUGGUGUCUGCAGUGGGGGGUUUAAGGCACCCGCUUCCAUUUCUUUCUUGUUUGGAGUUUUCUGUCGGAACCGCCGGCGUUGGCUCCGUAGACUUAGCAACGCCACCGGCAGCACCUUCUCCUGCGCCCAGUGAUGUUUCCACGGUGCCUGUACACAGCCGAGCGGCAUUUCCGUUGAAGGACUUGCAUCCCCAUCGUGGGCAGUGCUGGAUGUGUCCUGGAGACCCACCGGGAGGGCACCGCCAUGCCUCGCACCGCCACCGUGCAGGUUGUGGCUGGUUUUCUCCGCAGGUUGAACGUGGAAAUAAAAGCAAACUUGUAUG
Molecule: small RNA, 1865 nt
Filed under: Pongo abelii (Sumatran orangutan)
Lineage: Eukaryota; Metazoa; Chordata; Mammalia; Primates; Hominidae
Description: retained intron
Source: RNAcentral